GCCGCAGUGGUGGAACGGUAGACACAGAAGACUUAAAAUCUUCCGGCCGCUGGCUGUGCCGGUUCAAAUCCGGCCUGCGGUACCA
This 85-nucleotide transfer RNA is filed under the name Desulfovibrio sp. RNAcentral describes it as "tRNA-Leu". It matches the Rfam family "tRNA". Rfam says of the family: Transfer RNA (tRNA) molecules are approximately 80 nucleotides in length. Their secondary structure includes four short double-helical elements and three loops (D, anti-codon, and T loops). RNAcentral also lists the same sequence under 1 other name. The record is from RNAcentral. Lineage: Bacteria; Pseudomonadati; Thermodesulfobacteriota; Desulfovibrionia; Desulfovibrionales; Desulfovibrionaceae.